RNAcentral lists this long non-coding RNA (1488 nucleotides) under Heterocephalus glaber (naked mole-rat). RNAcentral's name for it is "lncRNA (ENSHGLG00100036122.1)". Lineage: Eukaryota; Metazoa; Chordata; Mammalia; Rodentia; Bathyergidae. The record is from RNAcentral.
UGUCAUUCAGAGAGAAGGCCUGGAGGAGAAGGAACAGCAAAAACAUACAAAGGAGCAGGAUUUGUGGUGGAACAGGCUGAAUUAUUUCACUGGGAACUCCUUGGGGGACCAUUUGAUUCUCUGGUUUUCUUGGAACCAUGAGCAUCUAUUGAUUUGCUCACGAAAUACAUUGUAAUUUAAAAUAAAAAUAAAACAUGUCCCCCUGUUGCUGAUUCACUUACUUAAAUGGCUCUUAACCUGGGACAUCGACACCCUCUGGAGACAUUUCUGGGGGUGACACUGGAGAGACCAGGUGUGAGACAGGGCAGUCACAAAGGCCAGAGGAUGCCCGGGCCGGGCCUGCAGCGCCACAGUGAGAAGCCUGGCUCAUUUCAUCCCUGGAGGUCUCUCCGGAGUCUGGAGUGGUGGGAAGGCUUCUCCCAGCUCCCGUGGGGCAGGGUAGGGGUGAACGGCACGGAGCUGACACCUGGCAGUCCUGAAAGUGGCCGAGAGCAGCCCUGGGGUAGGUGGACGGAUGGACGCACGGCAGAGGGUGCAGAGGGGCAGGUCGGCAGCCAGGGUCCCGCUCAGGCUCGCAGGGCGGAAGGCCGGGAACCGGGCCCGGGCCUCUGAAGUCCAGCGACUGCCCGCGCCCUCCCAACCGCGCGGCGAGGCUGCUCCCAGCAGUGUGUGGCCCCUGAUUCCCGACACACAGUUCGGAGACAGAAGUGUUUGGGCCAAGGUCACACAGUGGCUCAGGGACAACCCCGAGGUUCCGACCGAGCCCAAACUUUGGCCCGCCGCCAGAGUCCCCGGCUCCGGCCGCCCGGGACUCGCUGGCCGGUUCUGCAGGGGACGAAGCCUUUCUUCUCAAAACUGCCGCCCAUCGGACCGUGAGCUGUCUGCACUCAGCUUUUCACACGCACGUUCCUCCAGCCGCAAGCCCAGCCCCAGGCCCGCGCUGGCGGGGGCCUCACUGUGCCCCCAGGUGUGAGGUAGGGGUAGGUUAGGGCACAAAGAGAGAAAGACGAGUCGGUGAAACUCAAAACGCCCGCUCCCCUGGUAAAUUUAAGGGUUUUCCUUGGGAGGGGAUCUUUGCCCUGCCUCCUGGCGGGGGGGAGGACCCCGGGAGGGCAGAGGUCGCUCGGAGUGGGGACGCGGAGCAGCGCCCCCCCCGUUUCCGGCCGCCGCAGCCAGCCUUGGCUGGGCGCCUGGAUCCCGUUUCCAUGACGACAAGAAGAGGCGGUGGCGGCGGCGAGCGAAGCCGGCGAUGGAGGCUGGCAGGUCGGACGCCUGGGUCCCUCACUGCUGGGGGAGGGGCAGCGGCGAGAACCGGGAGCCCUGGGGCUUCUCGGGGGCGCCGGCAGGGAGGCUGGACGUCCCUCCGCAGCCCGUCGGAGAGUUGACCCGUCGCCGCCAGAGCCGGACGCCAUGGCCGCGCGCUGACCCCGCCGCCGCCUCCCGCCGCCUCCCGCCGCCCGCGCCCGGCCCGGGCCCCCAGUUCCGCCU